Molecule: small nuclear RNA, 196 nt
Organism: Chiloscyllium plagiosum (whitespotted bambooshark)
Lineage: Eukaryota; Metazoa; Chordata; Chondrichthyes; Orectolobiformes; Hemiscylliidae
Product: U2 spliceosomal RNA
Source: RefSeq, a predicted model, not a curated record
AUCGCUUCUCAGCCUUUUGGCUAUGAUCAUGUGUAGUUCUUUUCUUGUCCGUUUUAAUAUCUGAUAUACUGUAUACCUGAGUAAGGGACUGAAUAAUAAGGUGAUUUUUGCAGGAAGGAGUUGGGUUAGGAGCUUGCUCCAUCAACUUCGCACAUUGUCCUGGUAUUGCAGUAUUUCUGGGAAUGGUGCACCCCUC